ACAGCAGUAGCCACGGUAAUACGUAGGGCGCAAGCGUUGUCCGGAAUUAUUGGGCGUAAAGAGCUCGUAGGCGGUCUGUCGCGUCUGGUGUGAAAUCCCGAGGCUCAACCUCGGGCUUGCAUCGGGUACGGGCAGACUAGAGUGCGGUAGGGGAGACUGGAAUUCCUGGUGUAGCGGUGGAAUGCGCAGAUAUCAGGAGGAACACCGAUGGCGAAGGCAGGUCUCUGGGCCGCAACUGACGCUGAGGAGCGAAAGCAUGGGGAGCGAACAGGAUUAGAUACCCCGGUAGUCCCUGUCUCUUAUAC
RNAcentral lists this ribosomal RNA (305 nucleotides) under uncultured bacterium. RNAcentral's name for it is "partial 16S ribosomal RNA". It matches the Rfam family "Bacterial small subunit ribosomal RNA", at positions 505 to 807 of the family's 1533-position model. The record is from RNAcentral.